Molecule: ribosomal RNA, 500 nt
Filed under: uncultured bacterium
Lineage: Bacteria
Description: bacterial SSU rRNA
Rfam family: Bacterial small subunit ribosomal RNA
Source: RNAcentral
GAACGAACGCUGGCGGCGCGUUUAAGCAUGCAAGUCGAGCGGCAAGGGCCUUCGGGCCCCUAGAGCGGCGGACGGGUGAGUAACACGUGGACAAUCUGCCCCCCGGCCCGGGAUAGCCCAGGGAAACCUGGAUUAAUACCGGAUGAGACGGGACCCGCGAUGGCGGGAUCCGGGAAAGGCGCUGCGGCGCCGCCGGGGGAUGAGUCUGCGUCCCAUUAGCUAGACGACGGGGUAACGGCCCACCGUGGCGACGAUGGGUAGCCGGCCUGAGAGGGUGGACGGCCACAUUGGAACUGAGACACGGUCCAGACUCCUACGGGAGGCAGCAGCUAAGAAUCUUCCGCAAUGGGCGAAAGCCUGACGGGGCGACGCCGCGUGAACGAAGAAGGCCGUGAGGUUGUAAAGUUCUUUUCGGGAGGGGGAACAACCGUGGCAGGGAAUGGCCGCGGGAUGACGUGAAUCCCGGAAUAAGCCCCGGCUAACUACGUGCCAGCAGCAGC